GAAAUCAGUUUUGCUUCCGGUACAUGGAAAUGCUUUGGUGCGCAUAGUCAAUUAUAUAGAAUUGAGCCAAGCAGAAACAUCCUGAUUUCCAUCAGAAGAAAUCAAGCUUAAGGUGCUAUAAAAGACUCAUCCCUGCUGUAUAUAAUGCUUAGAAAGACAAUAUAUGAAAUGGAAAUACUUUAACAACUCCACCAAUUCUCACUCAUUUUAGAGAUUUACAGCUAAAAAACGUGGGGUCCUAUGCAGUUGCGUCUGGUGAUCAGCAGUUGUCAGCCCUUGUCUCCCAUCAGCAUCUAUGCUAGGGGUCCCAGGGCAUUCUGUGGUCAAUCUGAACAUACAAAAGCAGAAAUGCGAACAAACUGCUGAAAAAGCUUAGGCAUAGAGAGAAUAAUGAAUUAACUAUAGAUAAAUAGGAUUAGGAAAUACAUGGGGAAAUAAAAUGCGUUGGCUGUGCUGUUACUUGAAGGAGGAAAGAUGCUAACCUCUGGGUGUUCUAUCUGGCCUGAGGGACGAUUAGCUUCAGGUGAACAAGCUAUAGAUUCUCCUUCACUCGAACUUGUCAGGCUUUCAGGGCUAGAGGACACUAUACUUUCAGUCUCUGUUGUGUUUGUUCUCUAGCAAUAACAAAAUGCGAUUUUAUGAUCGACAGAAAUGGAUAAAUUAGCACCACAGCCAUUCAAUUAUUGCGUCUGUAGUUUCACAGUCUGUAUACAGAUAAAUUAGUCCCAAUUAUAUACCAAUGGUUCUAGCCAGAGGUCAUGGCAGAAGCAUUUUGUUUGGGGUGGUUGAAGUUCAAAUUCUAUUCUUAUAUAUUUCUUUAUUAAUAAAUAUAACUUAAUAAAAAUACUUAAAUUGAAAAUAUAAAGGGGCAUUUUUGUACUUCUAAAUUUGUCUUCCGAUCUACGCUGGGGAUCCAUGUCCUGAAAAGAAGACGAAUUCAAAUUUCAGUCAGAAGCGUUCUUCGGCAACUCUUCUCUCUCUCUCUCUCUCGAAUACGCUCGUACUGCACUCAUUCUACUCAUAGUUAUAGACGGUUUGAAGAAUCAAAUUCCGAAACGAUGUACGAUCCUCAGCAUUUCGUAGAUUUG
Molecule: unclassified non-coding RNA, 1088 nt
Filed under: Hevea brasiliensis (rubber tree)
Lineage: Eukaryota; Viridiplantae; Streptophyta; Magnoliopsida; Malpighiales; Euphorbiaceae
Source: RNAcentral